RNAcentral lists this ribosomal RNA (754 nucleotides) under uncultured bacterium. Its description in RNAcentral is "bacterial SSU rRNA". It matches the Rfam family "Bacterial small subunit ribosomal RNA", at positions 636 to 1390 of the family's 1533-position model. The record is from RNAcentral.
UNUGACUUGAGUGCAGAAGGGGAGAGUGGAAUNCCACGUGUAGCGGUGAAAUGCGUAGAUAUAUGGAGGAACACCAGUGGCGAAAGCGGCUCUCUGGUCUGUCACUGACGCUGAGGCUCGAAAGCGUGGGUAGCGAACAGGAUUAGAUACCCUGGUAGUNCACGCCGUAAACGAUGAGUGCUAAGUGUUAGGCCCUUUCCGGGGCUUAGUGCCGGAGCUAACGCAAUAAGCACUCCGCCUAGGGAGUACGACCGCAAGGUUGAAACUCAAAGGAAUUGACGGGGGCCCGCACAAGCGGUGGAGCAUGUGGUUUAAUUCGAAGCAACGCGAAGAACCUUACCAGGUCUUGACAUCCCGAUGCUAUUCUUAGAGAUAGGAAGUUACUUCGGUACAUCGGAGACAGGUGGUGCAUGGUUGUCGUCAGCUCGUGUCGUGAGAUGUUGGGUUAAGUCCCGCAACGAGCGCAACCCUUAUUGUUAGUUGCCAUCAUUAAGUUGGGCACUCUAGCGAGACUGCCGGUAAUAAACCGGGGGAAGGUGGGGAUGACGUCAAAUCAUCAUGCCCCUUAUGACCUGGGCUACACACGUGCUACAAUGGUCGGUACAACGAGUUGCGAGCCGGUGACGGCAAGCUAAUCUCUGAAAGCCGAUCUCAGUUCGGAUUGGAGGCUGCAACUCGCCUCCAUGAAGUCGGAAUCGCUAGUAAUCGCGGAUCAGCACGCCGCGGUGAAUACGUUCCCGGGCCUUGUACACAC